CCUCAACCAGGAAGUACGGCGGCCCAAAAGGAAUUGAAGGCGUAUACGAGCUGUAUUCAGUCAUCUUGAAAAUUGAUCACAACAAGCCAAUUCUGAGGUCUUAUAAUUAGUAGCCAAACAUUUCCACAUCAAUGGAGCCCACAUAGGAAGACAAGAAAAGACUCUCCAAGAACUCAUGGAAUCGCUACACUCCCUCACACAACAAGUAUCCCUCCUUUCCUCGAUGAUGCCAUCCAAACUUCCACCUCAAACCAGAUUCCCCGUCUCGACUUUACUCACCCCCCUCCAGCCCUGACAAACCGGAACCCAUCCUUCCUUCCUCGUGCUUCGAUGGAGCAGUCACUUGGCAGAUCGAACAGGUGGUUAAGGACGCCCAAAAGACUCACCCGGAUCCCAAGACCGGGCCUCCUGUUCGUACCCGAUUCCGCAUGCUCUGACGUUUUUCAGUGGGCUCACAACUCCAAACUCACCUGUCAUCACUGGUAUCACCCGCACCAUUCAGUUCAUCCAGCAGCAUUUUUGGUGACCCAGCCUGUUUCAAGACACCCAGGAGUUCGUCCAAGCCUCUGUGCCCGAGGGAAGUCUUCACACCUGCCCCCAGCUGGGCUGCUGCGUCCACUUCCUAUCCCGAGCCGCCUUUGGUCCCAUAUCGCUCCGGACUUUGUUACCGGUCUAUCUCCUUCUGAAGAGUUUUUCAUGGAAGAGCUUACGGCGUUCCCACGGUAACCAGUCUCCCUAUUUUGCGCCGUGGAACGUGCAAAAAGCAUCCCGCAUCCAAAGUCAGACAUGCAUCUUCGGGAAAUGACCCCUGAAGAUUCAAGGAAACAAUACGGUGAUGGCGUGUACGCCUUCAAAUGGGUCGUGAUGAGAUCCACAGUUGUGUUUUGGAUGCAGACGUCAGCCUCCUACCAAAUAACUAAGCAAAACCGCUCAUUUGUCACGUGAUGUACGCACGUGCACAGCUGCAGCUCAGACACAGAUGCUGUUCAAAUGUAUUGUUUCAAUUUUCAUUGGCAAAAGCCAUAUACAUUUUGCACAUCUGAGGUCAUUUAAUUGGAUGAUUUUAUUUGAAAUGUCAACAAUUUAUGAACAUUUUGAACACCUCAUGCCAUUACAAUGUGUUCCUUAAAGGUCCCGUGCCAACAAAAUAUUUUUUUUUUGCAUUGUUUUAUGCAUAACAUAGGUCAUAAUGGGUCUGUGACAGGGUUUAAAUUUGACAUCUAUGUGGUUUGUCGAUUGAAUGCAAAAGGCAAUAAAGAUAUCUGUGUUUGUGAUAUGGAUAGUGACCAAUUAUUCAAGUAGCUGACCACGUUAGGGUUUGUACCCACGCAUUCAACUCAUUUAAAUAUGUCAUCUAAAUUUAAAUGUGCACUAUUAGUGUACAUAUUGCACGUCUGUGUUGUUGCUGGAGGGAGGAAAACAACCUUUCAAUUCUUCUGCAUUGCAUGCCCUGAAUAUAUUGACAAUUAAGGAUCCUUAAAUUCCUUUAAAAAAAAAAAAAAAAAAGGAAAGAGGCUGUUUCUAAACCUUGGCCAUCCCUCCCUGACACAGGUGAGUAGAAGCUGAAUACUGGGAAUGCGUUUUCACUGUUUCCACAGCAACUACAGUAUUGCGUUUCUCUCGCAGCAGUGAGCGCCGGUCCAAGGACAUGUCACUUCCUGUGAGCAACUUACAUAUUUACUUGCAUGCUUGCCAGUUCAAGAAGGACAAUGACGGUGAUGGCAAGUCUGUCAUGCAAUCCUGGCUUGACACUCUAACCUUUGCUUGAAACCCAAACUCUAAAAUGUAACCCUCACCCCAACUGGAAACCCUCAUUUUAAAUCCUAUCCUUCGCU
This is a long non-coding RNA of Phyllopteryx taeniolatus (common seadragon), 1835 nucleotides long. RefSeq lists it as uncharacterized. The transcript is spliced from 4 exons. The record is from RefSeq and is a predicted model, not a curated record. NCBI's taxonomy places the organism in Eukaryota, Metazoa, Chordata, Actinopteri, Syngnathiformes, Syngnathidae.